RNAcentral lists this ribosomal RNA (233 nucleotides) under uncultured bacterium. RNAcentral describes it as "partial 16S ribosomal RNA". It matches the Rfam family "Bacterial small subunit ribosomal RNA", at positions 99 to 334 of the family's 1533-position model. The record is from RNAcentral.
CGGACGGGUGAGUAAUGUCUGGGGAAACUGCCUGAUGGAGGGGGAUAACUACUGGAAACGGUAGCUAAUACCGCAUAACGUCGCAAGACCAAAGAGGGGGACCUUCGGGCCUCUUGCCAUCGGAUGUGCCCAGAUGGGAUUAGCUAGUAGGUGGGGUAACGGCUCACCUAGGCGACGAUCCCUAGCUGGUCUGAGAGGAUGACCAGCCACACUGGAACUGAGACACGGUCCAG